AUACGGAGGAUCCGAGCGUUAUCCGGAUUUAUUGGGUUUAAAGGGUGCGCAGGCGGCCAUUUAAGUCAGCGGUUAAAUCGUGGGGCUCAACCCCAUUCUGCCGUUGAUAUUGGGUGGCUUGAUUGCGGUCGAGGUUGGCGGAAUUCGUUGUGUAGCGGUGAAAUGCAUAGAUAUGACGAAGAACACCGAUUGCGUAGGCAGCUGACCAGACCGCAAAUGACGCUCAUGCACGAAAGUGCGGGGAUCGAACAGGAUUAGAUACCCUGGUAGUCCGCACAGUAAACGAUGAAAACUUGUUUUCGGCGAUAUAAUGUCGGAGGCAAAGCGAAAGCGAUAAGUAUUCCACCUGGGGAGUACGCCGGCAACGGUGAAACUCAAAGGAAUUGGCGGGG
Molecule: ribosomal RNA, 392 nt
Filed under: uncultured bacterium
Lineage: Bacteria
Description: partial 16S ribosomal RNA
Rfam family: Bacterial small subunit ribosomal RNA
Source: RNAcentral